GGGGGGGCCGCGCACAGGCAUAAAGGAUAUUAACUAGACAACAUAUCAAAAAAUUAAACACUCAAAAUUUUUGCAUGAAAUGACAGUUUGGUCUUGAACCUGCAAACCCAAAACUCUUGCCAUUGAACGAGAUAAUGGCUGUUAGACAAACAUAAUACACUAUCUAUUAUCUAAGUUAGUGAUACAAAUUAGCGCAUUGGAUAGAAGCUAAGCACUGAAAUGUCCAAGAAUCAAGGUAACCUUGUGCACACAUGGAUUGGUGUCAAAUACAAGGUAGCAAACUGAAUAAUUGAUUAAGCAUUCAACUCAUAGCAAGAAGUGUGAUUAUUAAGAAAAUCACUGAGCAGAAGUAAUUUCACAUCUGAGAAUGUAUCAAAAGCUUCUUGAACACUCCUAGGCUAUCAUUAGGGAUGCCUUGAAAUUUUAUUCAAGAAGGCAGAGGCAACGAGGGUCAAGGAUAGAACUGCUUUUCCUUUCAGAUUCUUAAAAUUAGACUGUAAUCAGAUAUGAUAUUUAUAAAAAUAUGUACAUUACCUUUUUUUUUCAGUCUAUCAGCUAAACGGGGCAUGGAUACACCCAAUCAAGCACUUUGGCGAACAAAAGUCAAAUUCAAAAACAAGCUAAUGAAAUUUUGCAUAAAAUAACACCAACAAAUAGCAUCCACAAAACAGCAUAUGUUGGUGUCAGAUGCAGUGAUGGUGGCACCAGCUUAGACUCUGAAGCAAUGAA
This 729-nucleotide unclassified non-coding RNA is filed under the name Hevea brasiliensis (rubber tree). Lineage: Eukaryota; Viridiplantae; Streptophyta; Magnoliopsida; Malpighiales; Euphorbiaceae. The record is from RNAcentral.